UCAAAUGGGUGUGCUAGGGGGUUGAAAUGCCUUGUUACAUGACCCUCGGUAUCAGAUUAUCAUGUUAUAGAGAGCUUUAGGUGAACAAAACAGUGUCGUGCUGGGAGACUCGAUUGAGGGGCCUCAUGGACAGCCCUAAUCUGUUAGUGGCACGGGCAAAUUAUAUUUGUAGUGGCUGCUGUGGUGGUUUGUGGCGUAGUUAUGAAAUCGGAAGGAAAUCAUUGCACCAGUUACGUGUUUUCCGCUGCCUAGAGAAUGUUACGUAUAAUGAUUUGAGUCCUAGUUGAGCAUUCAGUGUUUUUGUCUUUUUUCGUUUGUUAAGAAUUCGCAUAAGAAGGGAAACAUAGCCAUAGUUACACAAUUUUCCACUGCCUUACAAUAAUUUAAAUCCAGGUUGAGCAUUCGGCGUUUUUAUCUCUUUCCGUUUGUUGAAAAUUUGCAUAAGUGAGGUUAAGUUUUGGUUACGUAAUGAAGAAACGUUGAUUUUCCCGUUUGUUAUAAAGUCGCGUAAGUGCUCUUGAGUUUUGGGUACGUAACUGUUACAAAGUCGCAUAAGUGAAGUCCAUUUUUGGUUACGUAAUGAAGAGAAUUUUUCUUUUCCCGCUUGUUAUAAAGUCGCGUAAGUGCUGUUGAGUUUUGGGUACGUAACUAGGAGAAAUAUGUUGCUUCUCUCAUCUGUUACAAAGUCGCAUAUGUGAAGUCCAGUUUUUGGUUACGUAAUGGAGAGAAUUUUCUUUUCCCGCUGUUAUAAAAUUGCGUACGUGCUAUUGAGUUUUGGGUAUGUAACUAGGAGACAUGUUGCUUCUCUUGUCUGUUACAAAGUCGCGUAAGUGAAGUCCAGUUUUCAUUACGUAACGGAGAGAAUUUUUCUUUUCCCGCUUGUUAUAAAGUCGCGUAAGUGCUGUUGAGUUUUGGGUACGUAACUAGGAGAAAUAUGUUGCUUUUCUCGCCUGUUACAAAGUCGCAUAUGUGAAGUCCAGUUUUGGUUACGUAAUGGAGAGAAUUUUGCUUUUCCCGCUUGUUAUAAAGUCGCGUAAGUGCUAUUGAGUUUUGGGUACGUAACUAGGAGAAAUAUGUUGCUUCUCUCGUCUGUUACAAAGUCGCAGAAGUGAAGUCCAGUUUUGGUUACGUAAUGAAGAGAAUUUUGCUUUUCCUGCAUGUUACAAAGUUGCGUAAGUGAUGAUAAAUUUUGGUUACGUAACGAGAAGAAAUAUGUUGGUGUUUUCAUUUGGUAAAAAGUCGCGUCAGUGGAAUUAAAUUUUGGUUACGUAGUGAGAAGAAAUAUGCUUGUGUUUUCAUUGGGUAAAAAUCGCAUCAUAGGAAUUAAAUUUUGGUUACAUAAUGAGAAGAAAUAUGUUGAUGUUUUCAUUGGGUAAAAAUCGCAUCAGUGGAAUUAAAUUUUGGUUACGUAAUGAGAAGAAAUAUGUUGGUGCUUAUGUUGUUUAAAAAGUUGCGUAAGAGAGAUUAAGUUUUGGUUACGUAAUGAGAAGAAAUACGUUGGUGUUUCCAUUGGGUAAAAAGUCGCAUCAGUGGAAUUGAAUUUUGGUUACGUAAUGAGAAGAAAUAUAUUGGUGUUUUCAUUGGUUAAAAAGUCGCAUCUGUGGAAUUAAAUUUUGGUUACGUAAUGAGAAGAAAUAUAUUUGUGUUUUCAUUGGUUAAAUACUCGCAUCUGUGGAAUUAAAUUUUGGUUACGUAAUGAGAAGAAAUAUAUUGGUGUUUUCAUUGGUUAAAAAGUCGCAUCUGCGGAAUUAAAUUUUGGUUACGUAAUGAGAAGAAAUAUAUUGGUGUUUUCAUUGGUUAAAAAGUCGCAUCUGUGGAAUUAAAUUUUGGUUACGAAAUGAGAAGAAAUAUAUUGGUUUUCAUUGGUUAAAAAGUCCCAUCUGUGGAAUUAAAUUUUGGUUAUGUAAUGAGAAGAAAUACGUUGGGUGUUUUCAUUGGUUAAAAAGUCGCAUCUGUGGAAUUAAAUUUUGGUUACGUAAUGAGAAGAAAUAUGUUUGUAUUUCCAUCGGUUUAAAAACUGCAUCAGUGGAAUUAGAUUUUGGUUUCGUAAUGAGAAGAAAUAUGUUGGUGCUUACGUUCCUUAAAAAGUUGCGUAAGAGAGAUUAAAUUUUGGUUACGUAACGAGAAGAAAUGUGUUUUUUUCAUUGGGUAAAAAUCGCGUCAGUGGAAUUAAAUUUUGGUUACAUAAUGAAAAUAAAUAUGUUGGUGUUUUCAAUGGUUAAAAAUCGCGUCAGUGGAAUUAGAUUUUGGCUAUGUAACGAAAAGAAAUAUGUUGGCGUUUCCAUUGGGUAAAAAGUUGCAUCGGUGGAAUUAAAUUUUGGUUACGUAACAAGAAGAAAAAUGUUGGUGCUUACGUUGCUUAAAAAGUUGCGUAAGAGAUUACGUUUUGUUUACGUAAUGAGAAGAAAUGUGUUGGUGUUUCCAUUGGGUAAAUAUCGCAUCAGUGGAAUUAAAUUUUGGUUACGUAACGAGAAGAAAUAUGUUGGUGCUUACGUUGCUUAAAAAGUUGCGUAAGAGAGAUUAAGUUUUGGUUACGUAACGAAAAGAAAUAUGUUUGUGCUUACGUUGGGUAAAUAUCGCAUCAGUGGAAUUAAAUUUUGGUUACGAAAUAAGAAAAAAUAUGUUGGUGCUUACAUUGCUUAAAAAGUUGUGUAAGAGAGAUGAAGUUUUGAUUAUGUAACGAGAAGAUAAAUGUCGGUAUGAAUGUCCUUUCUAUGCCUAUAAAAGAAUCAAGUUAUGGGAUUUGAGUCGUAGUAUUCAGAAUGGGAUGUGUGAUUUAUGUGCGAGUGAAAAAAAUUAAUGUAAGAGAAUUUGAUCGAUAAUUAUGCCGUUAGUACGUGUUACCUAUACUGUGUCUUGAGACGUAAAAAAAUCAAGUCAUAGGUACGAAUUCAGGAUGGGACAUGUGAUAAUCUGUGGAGGUAAAAAAAAAAAUGUAGUAAGAGAAUUUGAUGGUUAGUUAUGAUGCGAGGACUUUUUACUUUGUUUCUCGAUAUGUAAAAGAAAUGUGAAGUAUGAGAAUUCGACCCAUAGUUAGGAAUUCAGAACGGAAGGAUGUUUUUAUUUCUGUGUGUGAUCUGUGUAUGGAAAAAUUUAUCAUAGCUUCGUUACCAGAGCAUGAGUUACGUAUAUUUUUGAGGUAUAGAAGAAAUGUUAAGUACGAUAACCUGAGCCAUAGUUAGGAAUUCAGAAUGAGGGGUGUGUGUGUGUUUAUUUCUGUGUGUGAUCAAUGGAUGGAAAAAUUUAUCAUAGCUUCGUUACCAGAGCAUGAGUUACGCAUAUUUUUGAGGUAUAGAAGAAAUGUUAAGUACGAUAACCUGAGCCAUAGUUAGAAAUUCAGAAUGAGGGGUGUGUGUGUGUUUAUUUCUGUGUGUGAUCUGUGGAUGGAAAAAUUUAUCAUAGUUACGUUACCAGAGAGUUAGUUCCAUCUCUUCUAUGAACGUAAAAAGAUAUGUGAGGUAUGAGAAUUUGACCCAUAGUUAGGAAUUCAGAACGGGAGGGAAGAUGUCUUUAUUUCUGUGUGUGAUCAAUGGAUGGGAAAAUUUAUCAUAGUUCCAUUACAAGAGCAUGAGUUACGUAUAUUUUUGAGGUAUAGAAGAAGUGUUAAGUACGAUAGCCUGAGCCAUAGUUACGAAUAGAAUGGGGUGUGUGUCUAUUGUGAGUGAUCUGUGGAUGGAAAAAAUUAACAUAGCUACAGUACCAGAGAGUUAGUUCCAUCUCUUCUAUGAACGUAAAAGGAAAGUGAAGUAUGAGAAUUCGACCCAUAGUUAGGAAUUCAGAAUGGGAGGAUGUUUUUACCCUUUGUUUCUGAUACAUGGAUGAAGAAAAAUGAUCACAGUUGCAUUACCAGAGUUUGCUGCAUCAUUUCUCGAGACUCAAAAGAAAUGUAAAUAUAUAAGAAUUUGACCCAUAGUUGCAUUACCAGAGUUUGCUUCAUCAUUUCUCGAGACUCAAAAGAAGUGUAAAGUAUAUAAGAAUUUGACCCAUAGUUGCAUUACCAGAGUUUGCUACAUCAUUUCUCGAGACUCAAAAGAAAUGUAAAGUAUAUAAGAAUUUGACCCAUAGUUGCAUUACCAGAGUUUGCUGCAUCAUUUCUCGAGACUCAAAAGAAAUGUAAAGUAUAUAAGAAUUUGACCCAUAGUUGCAUUACCAGAGUUUGCUUCAUCAUUUCUCGAGACUCAAAAGAAAUGUAAAGUAUAUAAGAAUUUGACCCAUAGUUGCAAAUUCAGAAUAGGGGUGUGUUUUUAUAUAUAUGUAUCUAAUCUAUGGAUGAAAAUUUGUCAUAUCUACAAUACCAGAGAGUUAGUUCCAGCUCUUCUAUGAACGCAAAAAGAAUGUGAUGUUUAAGAAUUUGACACAUAGUUAGGAAUUCAGAAUGAGGUGUGUUUUUACAAUCUCGUCCUAUCCGUUGAUGCCAAAAUUUGAGUCACGGUUACGUUAUCCGAAUGUCUUAGUUUCGUCUUUCUCGUGGGCGCGUGGAAUGUCGUACGAUGUGUUGAGUUCGUUACGUAUUGAGAGCGAGGUGUGCCGUCAUAUUUACGUCAUGUGGUGGUGGAAAAGAGAAAGGGAUGUCAGAGUAGUCUUAUAGUGUUAUGAAAGUGUUGCAGGUGUGUGAACGUAGAGGAAAGAGAGGGAAUAGAUAUGAUGUCAGGAUGGGAGGAAAGGAAGGAAGGAAGAGUGAUGUCAGGAUAGGAGGGAAGGAAGGAAGGAAGAUGUCAGAAUGGGAGGAAAGGAAGGAAGGAAGAGUGAUGUCAGGAUAGGAGGAAAGGAAGGAAGGAAGAUGUCAGAAUGGGAGGAAAGAAAAAUGACAUCAGAAGAGUGUUACGAGUCUUAUUACUAAAAUGUGUCGCGGAGUUUGAAUGUGAGGGGAUGAAAAAGGGUGACAUCAGAAUAGUGUUGCAGUGUUAUAAGUGUGUUGCAGAAUGUGAAUGUGGAGGAGGAAAAAGGAAAAGUGAAGUCAGAUUAGUGUUGCAGUGUUAUCAGUGUGUUGCAGAAUGUGAAUGUUGACGAGGA
Molecule: long non-coding RNA, 5013 nt
Organism: Eriocheir sinensis (Chinese mitten crab)
Lineage: Eukaryota; Metazoa; Arthropoda; Malacostraca; Decapoda; Varunidae
Exons: 6
Source: RefSeq, a predicted model, not a curated record